This 460-nucleotide ribosomal RNA is filed under the name uncultured bacterium. RNAcentral's name for it is "partial 16S ribosomal RNA". It matches the Rfam family "Bacterial small subunit ribosomal RNA", at positions 338 to 795 of the family's 1533-position model. The record is from RNAcentral.
CCUACGGGGGGCAGCAGUGAGGAAUAUUGGUCAAUGGACGAGAGUCUGAACCAGCCAAGUAGCGUGAAGGAUGACUGCCCUAUGGGUUGUAAACUUCUUUUAUAUGGGAAUAAAACGUUCCACGUGUGGGAUUUUGUAUGUACCAUAUGAAUAAGGAUCGGCUAACUCCGUGCCAGCAGCCGCGGUAAUACGGAGGAUCCGAGCGUUAUCCGGAUUUAUUGGGUUUAAAGGGAGCGUAGGGGGAUUGUUAAGUCAGUUGUGAAAGUUUGCGGCUCAACCGUAAAAUUGCAGUUGAAACUGGCAGUCUUGAGUACAGUAGAGGUGGGCGGAAUUCGUGGUGUAGCGGUGAAAUGCUUAGAUAUCACGAAGAACUCCGAUUGCGAAGGCAGUUCACUGGACUGCAACUGACACUGAGGCUCGAAAGUGUGGGUAUCAAACAGGAUUAGAUACCCGUGUAGUC